Molecule: long non-coding RNA, 720 nt
Organism: Rosa rugosa (rugosa rose)
Lineage: Eukaryota; Viridiplantae; Streptophyta; Magnoliopsida; Rosales; Rosaceae
Exons: 2
Source: RefSeq, a predicted model, not a curated record
CUUCUUCUGGAAAAAUAAACCAUCUCUUUCUCUAGUCUCUCUCUCUCUCUCUCUUGUCUUACAUGAUCAAUUAACCUGGAUAGUCUGAAUCGUAAGGAAUAGAUCCCGGAUCCCCCUAUCAGAUUCAACUCUGGUCUAUCAAUUUAACCUACCCUCUAUUUUUGAAUUAGGGAUUGUGAUUUCUUAUGCGAUUGUGGUUUUUCUUUGCAGCAAGGGAUUAAUUGAAGAGAUUUCAUAUUGUGUUCGUGGAGAGCGAGGUUGCGAAUCACCUCGGAUGAAAGAAGCCAUCGACCAUUAAAACUAGUUCCUCGUGCUUCAACCCGAGACCAUGGAGAAGCUCCAGCGACAACACAAUUUUAGUGUUUGUUAUUUUAUUUUCUUUGAUGGCUCUAUUCGAUAUAUAUGCGGGAGAAAAAUUGGAUGAUUUUUGUUGUCUAUGGUUUUCUGGUUAUGGCUUAUUGAUUGAAUUUUGUAUGGGUCUAUGCCUAUCAUCUCUAAUCCAAGAUCCCCAAUUUCAGCACUGAGUAGGAGGCUGAAACCAUGGCAGUGAUUGAACCCAAGAAGAUCAUCAUUGAGAUCCUGGUAUCGAUUUCGGCCAAGUCAAUUGCAGACUGAAGCUGCUCUAUUUGCUUCCCCAUGUACUCACCAACUUGAUUUCAGCCAUCCAUCCCCAGAAAGUUGAAAAAAAAUGAAUAAUAUCAAGAAUCUAAUCAAUUUCAA